Molecule: long non-coding RNA, 15046 nt
Filed under: Triticum aestivum (bread wheat)
Lineage: Eukaryota; Viridiplantae; Streptophyta; Magnoliopsida; Poales; Poaceae
Description: long non-coding RNA (TAES_LNC022119)
Source: RNAcentral
UUAUACCAUGCUGCAGGGAAAUGUUCUGCACCGAUAAUAUCUUAAGCUAAUAGGUCGUUGUAUGAGUUGGUGAGUCUCAUACAUACCUUUGUUGUUUAAUAAAAUCAGAGCACCUUUGGACCCUCUUUGCACGCAUACUGAUUUGUACAUCUGUUUUCCCAUUGAAAGUUUAGGUGGAUUUAGUUUUAAUUCUGUAAAUUGAGCAAACUAUAGUCCAAAAACGACUAAAAAUUAAUAAAAAGAUAUAAAGAACGGUGUAAGUAUGUAUUUGUUACCUUUUCCGCAUCCUUCUGCUGCAUGUAUUCCAAGUUUACUUCUUGUCCAUCAUUUCAAUACCAUUCAAUGUUUCUAUCUCUACUGGGUUAGUUUUUGUAUGUACAUCAUUUGCAGCAAUAUUUCUGACGAAAAUUGUUUUGCAUCUUCCUUUGGACGAUUGAGUUGCUUGUGUUAAUAUCCGCUAAUGCCUUUACCAGGGUUUCGUGUUACAUGGACUUCUGUGGAUGAACAUAUCAAAGACGAUCUUGAUCUUCAGAGUGCUGCUCAAGAGGAAGAGGUAGCAGAUUCUGCUCAGAAUUUUCUACAGCAUAUUCCAGCGAGUUUCCAUCUCGUUGGUGAUACUUAAAUGGUGCUAAUGUGCCAGGUGCAGGCUAUUAUACUUGUAGCAGAAAGCAUGGGAGAAGGCACUCGGUGUGCUCUGAAUAGAAUUGUGCAGUUGAGGCUGAGAAACUUGUACGUUGCUUCACGUUCCUCUUUCCCUUCAGCAUCACACUUUCUUUAUACCAUAUAUUUUAUGUGUGAUAGAAAAAUCAUAUAGUUUUGGUCUCUGUCUGUGUUCACAUUCAUAUUGCCAUGUACCGAAGUAUAACAAUUCAUAGGUUCAAUUUUUCGAACUAAAACUACGACAAGAAUUAUGGAACAUAGGGAGUACAUAACAAUUCAUGUCACAAGACACAAGUGAAUGCUGCCAGCUUUCCACAGUUGAACUAAGCCGCAUGAUUGGGGGAAUCAAAUUUGUAUUAACAAAUGUAAAUCUAAUAACAAGAGUGUUUGGUUGAUUGAUUCCAUUAAUUCUGUAAACAAUUUCGGGGUGGAAUCUUCCUUUCUAAAACUUUGAAUUUCAUGGGUACAUUUUAGUCAUUUUGUUUGUUACUCUUCAUGGCUACUAUUUAUUUCAAGAGCCAAAACAUCAAUAUUGCUACCUGUAUCUGACCAUUUGAAAAGAGAAUACUGUUCUUUUAUAUAGUGCAGCCUGAUACAUGAAUAUGACAUGCUAUUUCGCAAGAGAACGCGCACAUCAAUUACUGUUAGAUUUAGGUUUAACUUCAUUACCUAUCCUAAGCUAGUGCGCCUACUCCCUCCGUCCGAAAAAGCUUGUCCCAAGCUUGUUCCUCAAAUGGAUGGUGCUAGAUACAUCCAUUUGAGGAACAAGCUUUUUCGGACGGAGGGAGUAUAUGAAACUCUAGUGGAAGUGUUGGGUCAUUACCAUAGUUGAAAAGCAGAGUCCCAUGGUCGUGCGCCUCCGAGCAGCGAGGAGUUGGUCAACAGAUGUGUAGGAUGCCCACGGCACAACCUUGCGGUGGCCGGUGGUGGUGGAUGGUCUUCGCCUCUCUUAGCUAGGUAUAAUGUGUUUCUUUUGCACCGUGCCGAUGUACUCCUAUGUCAUAUGUUUCUUUUGGGCCUAUGUCCUGGUGAAUCUCAAUACAAGUAAUGCGUGAGUAAUCACCAAGAUCACUUGUGUCAUAAUUGGGAGAUAGGAAAACUCUUGGUUGGUCAAUGGGAUUUGAUGGUGAAUGAAGGUACCAUUGUCUGAAUGCUCAUCUUAGUUCAUAAUUUGAAUUAUUUGACAACACGAUUUAUGUUACCUUUCUUUCAUGACAAAAUCUUCUAGUUGAGCCACGUAAAACAUUCUUAAUGAAGUCAAAAUUAAAACACCACUAACAUCAUCUAUUGCUUAGUCGAUACAAGAGAAGAGAUGUCAUUACGAUCAAUAUCUUCUUUCUUUAUUACACGCCUCACUACAAGUCUUUGUUUGAACCUUUUGAGAUUUUCCUCAGGAGUCAUGUUUGAUUUUGCAAAGCCAUUUACACCCCACCAUUUUAACUCGUUUAGAAAACUCUAUUAAGUUCUAUUAAGUUCCAUACAUCAGUAGAGCCCAUAGUCUUCAUUCUACAUGGCAAAAGACCAUUAACAUUUAAUGCUGAGGCUCAAAGCUAGGUGUUGUAUUUGGGAUUUCAUAGCCCUCGUUCCACAUGAUGCAUAUGAACAAAGAUUUCAUGGAUAUUCAGUACGUAAGAUCGCUUCUCCUCAAGAUUUAUGUUCCUAGGCCCCGACUCCCAUGAGCACAUUAUUUUUGUAGAACAUAUAUCAUGCUCCAGAGUCUAAUGUCUUAACAAGUACAAUUUUUUAUUCUAAUCCGCAUUACUAUUGGAUAGAAAAUGGAGAAGAACUUAACGAAGCAUGGCACAUGAUUAUAACAUCAUUGAUCCACAUGGUACAUUAGUAUCAUGAUUGACAUAGAUUGGCAAACUUGCCACUUUAGAAUUAAUGUGUGCUUCAGAUGUCAUAAGGGAGUAAGUAUACAUAGUCAUGGUUAAAACAAGGAGUUAGAAUAUUAGCGUGUUUUUCAUCCAUUCUCCAAAUAAGACUUCUUGUUGGUCCCAUCUUAAUAAGAGAACUUACUUUAAUUGUGGUGAUAUGGUCUUACUAGGAUAAGUGAUUGUUCCAUCCCCCCCUCGGAAUGUGGUAUACUAGAACAACCUCAAUUUCGAUGUCUCAUUAUUUACAUUUCUCUUACAGUUUGAUUCUACCAAAGCACACAGGAUCAUUGCAAAAUAUUCAUGAAAAUAACUCGCCCCAUGGCUAGACUAACUCACAUGAUUGUAAUUCAACUUAACUAGGGAUUUAAACCACACAUAAUCAUUGUAUUACAGAGACCAAGUGGUUCACCUCAAAAACAUGAAUCAAAUUUUCUUCUAAUGUGUUAUUCUUUAUUGUCCUUAUGACAAAACCCUUAAGUCUCAACUUUAUCGGGUGAAGUGCCCUUAAAAUGCUCCUCACUAGAGGCCAAGCACUCCUUGGCAUAGUCUGAGUCGGGAAUUGCAAUCUCUUAUUUCAGCUGAGAUGGUUUUUCUUUAUUGGACCGCUCGCGUUAUUUUGCCUUAUUGUCGUAAAUCUUUUUUUUGUUAGCGUAAUCUCAAUGUUAGUGGUAGGAGUCGUGGGAGCUUUUCCAUGUAAUGCAUGUUGUCGGUUGUUAAGCCCAAGCAUGAAAAUGCUCUUUUCCUUCCAUUUGAGAAAAUCAAAUGGAGUGGGUGCUUCCCCAUGUAAUUCUCAAUGUUAGUGGUAGGAGUUGUGGGAGCUUCCCAUGUAAUGCAUGUUGUAGGUUGUUAAGCCCAAGCAUGAAAAUGAUCUUUUCCUUCCAUUUGAGAAAAUCAACUCCAUCGUCCAAGUAAAUGGUACCAUUGUUGGUGUUCAUUGCUAAAAAGAGAUGAUAACUUGAGCGUCGUAACAAAACUUGAACCGUGAAUUAACUUUGUAAUUGAUCUAAAUUAGAAACAUGUUUAAUUGUUGCCAUUGAGUUGAAAACCAAAAGAAACAUAUGUAUUUAUAAUUGACCAUAAAAAUAAUCAACGCUAGUCAGAAUAUUAUCAUAUAUUGUAACAACUUCUGCUCACUAAAUAUUUGAUCAGAAGUUUUUGUUUGUUUUAUUUUGCUUAGAGAAACUUAAAAUUAAAUAAAGAAACCCAAAAGAUUUUCGUUGGGGCGUAACCCUCUCAGCAACGCGCCACAUCGGAACCCGCGCGUGGUGUCAAAUGGGCAAUGGCCGGGCCGUCACCCCCCACCCCCCCGAUGGUGCGCCGUAUCUUGAUCUAGAUACGGUGACAAGUGAGCCAGGAUCGGGCCGUCGUAUCCUUGGUGACGCGCUACAUCGGUGCCUGGAUGUAGUGGAAAAUGAGCAAGGAUCUUUGCAUUUGACUCGACGAGUGCGAAGGGUAAGGAAACUAGUCGGACCUAGGAGGAUCCGCUUAGGUAGCUGGAGUGUAGGGUCCCUGACAGGGAAGCUUCGGGAGCUAGUUGAUGCAGCGGUGAUGAGAGGUGUUGAUAUCCUUUGCAUCCAAGAAACCAAAUGGAGGGGAUAGAAGGCGAAGGAGGUGGGAGGAUACCGGCUUCAAGUUGCGGUACACAUGGACGGCUGCAAGCAGAAAUGGCGUUAGGCAUCUUGAUCAACAAGAGCCUCAUGUAUGGAGUGGUAGAUGUCAAGAGACGUGGAGACCGGAUUAUCUUGGUCAAGCUGGUAGUUGGGGACUUAGUUCUCAAUGUUAUUAGCGCGUAUGCCCCGCAAGUAGGCCACGAUGAGAAAACCAAGAGGGAGUUCUUGGCAGGCUUGGAGGACAUGGUUAGGAGUGUACUCAUUGGCGAGAAGCUCUUCAUAGGAGGAGACCUCAAUGGCCACGUGGGUACAUCUAACACAGGUUUUGAAGGGGUGCAUGGGGGACUUUGGCUAUGGCAUCAGGAAUCAAGGAGAAUAUGUCUUAAGCUUUGCUCUAGCCUACGACAUGAUCGUAGCUAACACCCUCUUUAAUAGAGAGAAUCACAUCUAGUGACUUUUAGUAGUGGUCAACACUCUAGCAAGAUUGAUUUCGUCGUCUCGAGAAGAGAAGAUAGGCGUGCGUGCCUAGACUGUAAGGUGAUACCUAGAGAGAGUGUUGUCCCUCAGUAUAAGCUUGUGGUUGCUGACUUCGCUUUCGGGUUCGUGUCCAGGGAUAAGCGUGCCAAAGUCGCUAGAACGAAGUGGUGAAAGCUCAAGGGGGAGGUAGCUCAGGCGUUCAAGGAGAGGGUUAUUAAGGAGGGCCCUUGGGAGGAAGGAGGGGAUGCGGACAAUAUGUGGAUGGAGAUGGUGACUUCCAUUUGUAAGGUGGCCUUGGAGGAGUUUGGAGUGUCCAGGGGAAGUAGAAGUGAAGCUAAAGAUACCUGGUGGUGGAAUGAUGGUGUCCAAAAGGCUAUUAAGGAGAAGAAAAAUUGUUUCGGACUCCUAUACCUAGAUAGGAGUGCAGACAACAUAGAGAAGUACAAGAUGGCGAAGAAGGCCGCAAAGCGACCUGUCAAUGAAGCAAGGGGUCGGGCGCAUGAGGACCUCUACCAGCGGUUAGACACAAAGGAAGGCGAAAGGGACAUGUAUAAGAUGGCCAAGAUCCGAGAGAGGAAGACGAGGGAUGUUGACCAAGUCAAAUGCAUCAAGGACGGAGCAGACCAACUCCUGGUGAAGGACGAGGAGAUUAAGCAGAUGGCGGGAGUACUUCAACAAGCUAUUCAAUGGGGAGAAUGAGAGUUCUACCAUUGAACUGGAUGACUCCUUUGAUGAUACCAGCAGGCGUUUUAUGUGGCGAAUCUAGGAGUCUGAGGUCAAGGAGGCUUUAAAAAGGAUGAAAGGAGGCAAGGCGAUGGGCCCCGACUGUAUCCCCAUUGAGGUGUGGAGAGGCCUCGGGGACAUAGCGGUAGUAUGGCUAACCAAGCUCUUCAACCUCAUUUUUCGGGCAAACAAGAUGCCAUAAGAAUGGGCGAGGCUGAGUAUAUUAGUACCAAUCUUGAAGAACAAGGGGGAUGUUCAGAGUUGUACUAAUUACCGUGGAAUUAAGCUGAUGAGCCAUACAAUGAAGCUAUGGGAGAGAGUCAUUGAGCACCGCUUAAGAAGAAUGACAAGCGUGACCAAAAAUCUGUUUGGUUUCAUGCGCGGGAGGUCGACCAUGGAAGCCAUUUUCUUGGUACGACAACAUAUGGAGAGAUACAGUGAGCAAAAGAAGGACCUGCAUAUGGUGUUCAUUGACUUGGAGAAGGCCUAUGAUAAGAUACCACGGAAUGUCAUGUGGUAGGCCUUAGAGAAACACAAGGUCCCAACAAAGUACAUUACCCUCAUCAAGGACAUGUACAAUAAUGUUGUGAUGAGUGUUCGAACAAGUAAUGGCGACAUUGUUGACUUCCCGAUUAAAACAGGACUGCACCAGGGUCAGCUUUGAGACCUCAUCUUUUUGCUUUGGUGAUUGAUGAGGUCACAAGGGAUAUACAGGGAGAUAUCCCAUGGUGUAUGCUCUUUGCAGAUGAUGUGGUGCUAGUCAAUAAUAGUCAGAUGGGGGUCAGUAGGAAGUUAGAGUUAUGGAGACAAACCUUGAAAUCGAAAGGUUUUAGGUUUAGUAGAGGUGCAGUUUCAGUACUUUGUAAAUCAGACUAUGUACCCACUACCUAUAAUAGAACUUGUUCUUAUCUAAGGUCUUGGAGUAGAUCUUGUGCUCUAGGUGUUCUGGAUUGAACUCUUGCUGCCAUAUCAGCCUACAUUUGCCUCUAGAGCGAUAUCCCUUCAACACUUGUGCUGUACACAUUGUAGCAGCAAAGUGGAGUUGCUCCUCCACAACCUUUGUGCUGCUUCAGGUGGCAUCAGAGCCUCGUUGACCCAUACUAGUUCUUGCUGUCCUCUUCGAGAGCAAGCUGCAGCAAGCAAUGGAGCAAUUGGAGAAGAGGAUGGAUGCCGCAUAACAACAAAUCAAAGAGCCACGUGAAGAUCUUAAUCGGAGAUUUGAUCAGUUUGGUUGAGAUGAUAAGAAAGGGUGUCCCCCCUGCUACCAUUGAAGGAGAUUCAUCUAAAGAAGAAGAAGAUGUUCAUCAAAGGAGAUGUAAUCUUGGAGCAAGACCGCCACAAUAAUGUGCUGUUCAACGUGCUUCAAGAAGGCCAAUAUCCUCCAUAUCCUCAUACCAAAGGCUCGUCUAGGAGUCAGCCUAAUAGAGUGGAAGAAAAGACGGCUCCACCAAAGGCAAAACGACCCAUCCAGAAGCAAACUAGAGGCAAGGGCAAGUCCAAUGAAGGCCCAAAAUGCUAUAAAUGUGGUGAAGAGGGACACAUAUCCAACAGCUGCCCACUAAGAAAAUUUGUUAACACAACUAUCCAUGAUGAUGAAGGCGAUGAGGAAGAAUACAAAUCUGAAGAUGUAGAGGGACAAGAGGUUUGUCAAGAAGAAGGUGAAGAGGUGGUAUGUGUGAUUCAGCAUCUCCUAUGUUCCACACCACAACCUGACGACACACAACGGAAGAAAAUAUUUGAGAGCAAAUGCACAGUGAAUGGCAAGGUAUGCAAGUUAGUGAUUGAUAGUUGCAGCUGCGAGAAUCUUAUCUCCCAGAAGUUGGUGAGCCAUUUAAAGCCUGAUACUCAUGAUCAUCCAAACUCCUACACUAUUGGGUGGAUCAAGAAAGGAGUGAAUAUUGUUACAGUAUAUGUGGAUUGUACUAGCCCUUUCCAUCUGUUUGGACAUUUGGUUGUGUUGGCUAGUGCAUGGAGCUUAACAUGGUAUCGGAGCUAAGGUCUUGAGUUCAAGUCCUGGUUUGCGCAAUUUAUUUAAAAAUUGCUGAUAGCCCCCCUUUGUGUCCACGUAGAGGCCUCUUGAGUCAUACGUGAGUUUCGCGCGUCGUCGCUCUCUUCCGGUUGUAUGUGUUGACUUGUCUUCCCCGUCACACGUGAGAGGGGGUGUUACAGUAUAUGUGGAUUGUACUAGCCCUUUCCAUCAGUUCGGACUUUUGGUUGUGUUGGCUAGUGCAUGAAGCUUAACAAAUAUGAGGAUCACCAAACAAUGCAACCUGUCACUUUCCUUGAGCAAGCAUUAUUGCUCAAAUGUGUUGUGUGACGUAGUUGAUAUGGACGCUAGCCAUGUUCUUCUUGGGAGACCUUGGCAAUUUGAUGUGGAUACUACACACAAGGGCAAGGAAAACUCUACUCUUUCAUUUGUAACAAGAGAAAGAUCAUUAUCUUACCAAACAAAACCGAAGGUAAUACCUCUAAGGAGGAGGGGAAUACUAUGUUAACUAUCCCCCAUACCUCUCAUGAGUUUAUGGAAGACUUGAAGGAGGCAGAUUUGUGUGCUGCACUUGUUGUAAAAGGAGAAGAGCACCCGACUAUUGAAAUUCUAGCAAAGGUACGUGGUUUAUUGGUAGAAUUUCAGAACAUACUUGGAGAGCCACAAGGCUCGCCACCGAUGAGAGGAAUUCAACAUAGAAUUGACUUAAUUCCGGGAGCAAGUCUUCCUAAUCUUCCACACUAUCGAAUGAGCCCAAAGGAGCAUAUAUAUUGAAGGAGAAAGUGGAGGAAUUGCUGCAAAAGGGGCACAUUCGAGAAAGUAUUAGUCCAUGUGUUGUACCAGCCCUACUCACGCCAAAGAAAGAUGGAUCUUGGCGCAUCUGUACGGACAGUAGAGCCAUUAAUAAGAUCACUGUAAGGUAUAGAUUCCCGGUUCCCCGUUUGGAUGAUAUGUUGGAUCAGCUUAGUGGAGCAAGAGUGUUCACAAAGCUAGAUUUAAGAAGCGGAUAUCAUCAAAUCCGUAUCAAACCUGGGGAUGAAUGGAAAACCGCCUUCAAGACAAAGGAAGGGUUGUUUGAAUGGCUAGUCAUGCCAUUUGGACUCUCAAAUGCACCAAGUACCUUUAUGUGCUUAAUGAAUCAAGUCCUUCGACCCUUCUUGUCCCACUUUGUUGUGGUCUAUUUCGAUGACAUCUUGAUCUAUAGCAAGGAUGAGGAUGAACUCUUUGACCACAUUCGGAAGGUGCUAGAAGUACCAAGGGAAAAUGAGCUCUACGUCAACUUGAAGAAAUGUGUUUUCCUGCAAACACAACUUCUUUUUCUAGGAUUCGUCAUAACAUGUGACGGUAUUCGUGUUGAUGAUUCUAAGGUUGAAGCAAUCCGAGAAUGGCCAACUCCGAAGACCAUUUCUGAGGUAAGAAGUUUUCAUGGCCUUGCAACUUUCUAUAGGCGAUUUGUGAAGAAUUUCAGCACUAUCAUGGCACCAAUUGCCGAGUGUUUGAAGAAAGGAAAGUUCCAGUGGACAGAAGCAACUGAAGCUAGUUUCAAUGAUAUUAAACAAAAACUAUCACAAGCUCCUGUCUUGGUGCUACCUGAUUUCAACAAGACUUUUGGGUUGGAGUGUGAUGCAAGUGGAGUAGGCAUUGGAGCUAUUCUAUCUCAAGAAAGGAAGCCCAUUGCUUUCUUUAGUGAGAAGUUAAGUGAAGCUAGACAGAAAUGGAGCACCUAUCAGCAAGAAUUGUAUGCCGUUUUCACAACCUUGAAAAUUUGGGAAGUUUAUUUGCUGCCUAAAGAGUUCAUUGUAUAUAGUGACCAUCAAUCAUUGAAGCAUUUUAGAAAUCAAAAGCAUGUUGACCGCAUGCUAGUGAGGUGGGCAGCAUAUCUGGAGAGGUUUAACUAUCUCAUCGUGCAUAAAUAUGGGUCAACGAACUGAGUGGCCGAUGCUUUGAGUCGUCGUGCAUGCCUCCUGACUUCUUUUGAAGCUGAACUUCCAGGCAUGGAUCAAAUAAAGGAGUUGUAUGAGGAUGAUGAAGACUUUGGCCAUGUUUGGGUGAAGCACCUAAGGGGCCAGCCAUUAGGUGACGACUAUUUGGUGCAGGAUGGCUAUCUCUUCAAAAAUGAUCGUUUGUGCAUCCCAAGGAGUUCUCUGCGUGACAAACUAAUUAGAGAACUCCAUUCAAGUGAUCUUAGUGGCCAUGUUGGAUGGGACAAGACUAUCGCUAAUUUGGAAGCUCGCUACUUUUGGCCACAAGUAAAGAGAGAUGCUGGAAAGUUUGUCCAGUGAUGCCCUAUAUGUCAAACCUACAAAGGCCAAGUCCAGAACACGGGAUUAUACAUGCCUUUGCCUGUUCCUGUUGCUUCAUGAGAGGACAUCUCUAUGGACUUCGUCUUGGGCUUGCCAAGAACAAGACGAGGAGGUGAUGUUGUGUUUGUGAUCGUGGAUAGAUUCUCUAAGAUGGCCCAUUUCAUCCCAUGCCGCAAGACAACGGAUGCUCAUCAUGUGGCAAACCUAUUCUUUCGAGAAGUGUUCAGACUUCAUGGAGUUUCAAGGUCCAUUGUCUCAGACCGUGAUAGCAAGUUUCUUGCUGCAUUUUGGCUCACUUUGUGGAAGCAAUUCAACACUGAACUAAAAUUUUCUAGCACUGCUCAUCCACAAACAGGUGGGCAAACGGAAGUGGUGAACAAGUUUUUGGGUAAUCUGAUCCGUUGCAUUUGUGGAGAAAGAAAGGGGCAAUGAGAUAUGGCUUUAUCUCUUGCAGAGUUCUCCUACAGUAACUCCAAGCAUAGAUCCACAUGAAGGAGCCCUUUUUCAAUUGUCUACACUAAAGUUCCAACACAUGUGGUGGACCUGGUGAAACUAUCAUCAAGGGGAAACUCGAAAUCAACAUUAUCCUUUGCUGAUAAUUACACCGAGUUAUUUGAAGAGAUUCGCGGUGCUUUGGAACCACAAAAUCAGAAAUAUAAACAACUUGCUGAUUGCAAAAGGAGGCCAAAAUCAUUCCAAGUCGGUGAUAAGGUGAUGGUCUACCUCUGAAAAGAGAGGCUGCCUUUAGGUGUUAAAGGGAAACUUAGGCAGCGAAGAUAUGGGCCCUUCUCUAUCGUGAGGAAGAUAAAUGAUGCUUAUGUGAUAGAUCUUCCAAGUGACAUGGGUAUCUCCAACACUUUCAAUGUUGCGGACUUGACGCUCUACCAUCCAGAAGAAGUGCUCUAUGAAGAUAACUCGAGGGCGAGUUCCAAACAACCAGGGGAGAAUGACGAGGAACACUAGAUGAGAAGAAAGAAAAACACAUGCCAGAUCAGUUUGGCUACUUCUAGAUGCUUCCACUCUAGUGUAGUAUUUCUUUUGUUUUCUUUACCCUACCCACUGUUUCUAGAGUUCUCUAGUUAUAAGUAGUUGUGAGUAGAGAGAUGAAUCCUAAAUAAUGUUUUCUAAAGUGUUCCAGCUAUAAGUAGAAGUAUGUGAACCUAUAAAUAGAGGUCCUCACCUCUACUUUGUAAACCAGACUAUGUACCCACUACCUAUAAUAGAACUUGUUGUUCUUAUCUAAGGUCUUGGAGUAGAUCUUGUGCUCUAGGAAUUUUGGAUUGAACUCUUGCUGCCAUAUCAGCCUACAUUUGCCUCUAGAGCGAUAUCUAGCGCAACAUGUUGAAAUUGUUCCUUCAACACUUGUGUUAUACACAUUGUAGCAGCAAAGUGGAGUUGCUCCUCCACAACCUUUGUGCUGCUUCAAAGCGUGUUGAUAAUGACAAGAGAGGUCGGGGUAGAUCGAACGAGGAGUCCGUAAAGAAAGAUCUGAAGGAUUGGAGUAUCACCAAAGAACUAGCCAUGGACAGGGGUGCGUGGAAGCUUGCUAUCCAGGUGCUAGAUCCAUGACUUGGUCGCGAGAUCUUAUGGGUUUCACCUCUAGUCUACCCUAACUUGUUUGGGACUGAAGGCUUUGUUGUUGUCGUUGUUGUUAUAAACUUAAAAUUAUAUAAUGAUCAGCAAAAACAUUGGUUAAAUUAACAAGAAGUAUUGAUACAAAGCAACAACAUAAUGCAUUCCAAUGUGUCAUCAGACAAAAGGACUCACAUUCAAUUACAUAAUGUUUAGUAAAAUUUGACAAUAAAAGUUGCCAUCAACAAUUACAAUAACCAAUAGUAUUUAUUUUGUUAUUAAAAUUCUCAAUGACAUGGUAUAAAAAUGCCAUUAAUAUUGGACAUUAGUAUAACCGUAAUAAUAAACAUGACACCCACUAAGUGAACAUUAUUAGUGUAACAUUCACGAUGAAAAAUACAUUAAUAUUAAUCUUCAAAAUAUCAUAAAUUCUCCAAAUAAUAAAAUUUGGACAUUGAUAUUAAAUCAGGAUUCGCCAAAUAAUAAUGUUUGGUAAGUGAUAAUGAUUAGAUAAAUAACAUGGCUUGCUUUGCCAAUAAUUUUCAGCAACAAUUGUUGUAAAAUGACCAUGAUAUUAAUAAAAUUUUCAAAACAAAACUUUCUCGUUCCGAAAAUUAAUCAUAAUUUUGUCAACAUGGUCUUCAUUGCAUCAACCAAUGCAUGUCUAAAUUAAAGUACAUAAAGUGCACCAUGAAGAGACUUUAAUUUUGCCCAAUAGGCACACUGAUCCAACAUUAUUAAGUGGCACGGUGCGACGUGCAAAAUCGAACUGCAUGACUAUUAACGUUCAGCGUGAGAUGGCCUCAACCUAUUAAGGAAAUGCAGUGAGGAUGACAACAACAUAAACUUUUUGCUCUCAAAUAAAAGAUCUGAAUGAAAUAUUCAAAAACUUUAGGAGUGACUCAUAAUCGUGCUCAAGAUUAAUAUUAUUUUACUAUCUUAACAUAUAAACAUUAAACUGAUACUAAAAUUGGUAUCAACAUAGAAAAUGUCAUAAUUAUGACAUCAGCAUUAAUACCACAUUAAAGUUUUCUAAAUAAAAUCUCCUAGUCCAUUUUUCCAAAUAAAUAAAUAUGAUUUCUAGCAUAAAUCCAGGGAAAAUUUUAUUGAGAAAAUUUUAACGCGAUAUUAGUGUUGAUGCCAUUAUUAUGAUUUUUUUAGUGCUGAUCUCAUUUUUAGUACCAUUUGAAUGUUAAAUAUUAAGAUUGUAGAAUGAUAUUAAUGUUAAGCACAAUUAUGACUCACUCCCUAAAGUUUCUGAAUAUUUUAUUAGGAAAUUUAUUUGGGCAUGAAGUCUAUCUUGAUGGUAUCCUUAUUGCACUUCCUUAAGGGUGUGAUUAUUGCUAACGAGUUGAGGCCAUGUCAAGCAGAAUGCUAAUGGCCGUGUGGUUGGUUUUUCGCACCGCACUAUGUGAUCCAAUAAUGUUUGGCUAGUGCCUGUUGGGAAAAACUAAAGUAUUUGUCGAUGCAUUUUAAAUGCCCGGCUAAGUUGUACUCCCAAGUCUGUGAUGUCAGCCUAGCCAUGAGGUGAGAUAGGUGACCUUUUGACUGAAUGAUCAUGUGUGCUAUGAUACAGUUAAGAUGCAUGAUAAGUGUAAAUGAUGAGACAUCAUCGAAAUUGCGAGCUUGUUCUAUUAUACCACAUUUAGGCUUACUAACACCAAUAGCACUGACAACAAAAAAACGGUGGUACUUCUCCUAUUAGGAUGGAACCAACAAGAAGUCUUAUUUGGCUAAUGAAUGGAAACCACACUGGUGUUGUGACUACUUUUAUCCUGUUUAUGUGUACUUACUCCCUAAUGAAAAGCACACAUUAAUGUUAAAGAAGCAAGUUUGUCGGUCCAGUCUCAGUUAUGACAUUAACAUUGCUGUGGCUUGUGAUUAUAUUUCAGGUGAACUUUGUUUAUAAUCAUGUGACAUGUUUUUUAUUGAGUUCUUGUCCGGCCAAAGUGAUGUGGACCAAGAACUAAAAUGUAUGCAUGUUAAGACAUUAGACUCUAGAAUGUGAUAUAUGUUCUACUAGAGUAAAGUAAUCACCAAGAGCCUAGGAACACAAAUCAUGCGAUAUGAGUUCCUAUGCAUCAUGGACUAAGAAGGACUAGGAAAUCUCUAUUGCAUCACCUAAUGUUGAGCCUCAAUAUUUCCCUAUGACUAAUUGGUGCAUGAUUGCUCAUUGUGUAUUGUUGCCAUAUAGGGUGAAGACUACGAGCUCUGGUGUAUGGAACUUAGUAGAGUUUUCUAAGUGAGUUAAAAUGGUAGGCCAUAAAUGGCUCUGCAAAACUAAACGUAAUUUUGAGGGAGUUUUUGGGAGGCUCAAACAAUGGCCUGUAGCCACCAAAAGGCUCAUAAUAAAGAGAGAAGGGAUUGAUCACAAUGGCAUCAUCCUGUCUUGACUGAGGAAUUGUCACGAUGCUUGUGUUAUCACUCUGGCAUGCUUUUAUGCUGAUUGAAUUUUUAAAUAUCCUGCGUGGCUCAACAUGAAUGUUUUGUCAUGAAAGAUAGGAAACAUGGCAUGUUGUGAAUAAUUCAAGUUAUGAACUAAGUCAAGCGCUUAUACAAUGGUACCUUAAGUCUGCGGUGUGAGUUUCACUGCCUUUUGUGGAUGAAAUCUCAUUGGCCAACCAAGAGAUUUGAUGAUGCCUCAUGCAGUAUUUGUAUGGAGGUUCACCGGGACAUGAGUCCAAAAGGAGUAUAAGUCAUAUUGUAUUGAUAUGCACCGAUAGAGUAUGUAGGAAACACAUUAGGCUCAAGUACUCUGUCUCACCUGCUCCGAAUGUUAAGGGUGAUAAAAUUGUGACAUUUCAAUGACCGAGGAAUCAGUUAAAACUGACCUGAUAAUGCCAGUUCUUUAUGCUUCAGUUGUCAAAAGCACCAUAUGUAAUCAAAUAUGAACAUAUCCUUAUUUAUGUUGGGGAUACUCGGCAUACACUAAAUCUAGAAAUGUACACUACUCGAAAGCAGCCACCAAGUCUUGCAGUGUAUGCACAAUAAAAAAGAUUACACACUCUCUUAUAAGGAUACAAGUAACCUUGAAAUUGUAGGUUGGUCGGAAAUUGUUAAAUUGUUAUUUAUGUGAGGUGUGUGUGGAUAUUAUGAAUUCUACUCUACGUCAUGUUACAUCUCCACUCUUGUGGAAAGAGCUACAUCAUGGGAAAGCUCAAGAAAGGACAACCAUGGCAUCAUUAGUGAUGCAAACUAGUUCGUGUUAUGCUAAGAGGCUACCAGACAUGUUGUAUUCCGAAGGAAUUCUUUCCCCAAAAUUAAAAGUAGUAGACGACACCUUUAAACCAGUUAUAGUGAUUAUGAACACCCAAUGCUCUAUGCGAGUAAUAACAUGUCAAUUGUGUUAACAAAACUAUUGACACUAUAUUAAUGUUGUUGGAAGUAGAAUCCAAGAUUAAACAUAUGAUGUUUGUCUCAUAAGUUUUGUGGUUCAUCUUGCUAAAGGCUUAUCACUGACCCUUCUAUGGUUAUGUUGUCAGGCAUAGGUCCGGAGAUCCUUUUGAUGACAGUCAAAUAAACCAAUUCCCAUAAAGUAUUAUGCUUUUCAUUUCAAGAUAUGGUACUGUAAGUACAGAGGUUCAGUGACAUUUCUUUUGUCAUUGUAACACUUUAUUUUGGUCUGUUAUUUCUAUCGAGAGUUGGCCUAUGAUGUUUGCUUGUUAACCUUAUGAUAAAGGGGUAGAAUGUUGAAAUUAAUCUCCUGGUAUAACAAACCGAGAGAAAGUGGGGGAGAAAUGUCUCUUACCCUACGCACAUGUUUAUCCUGGCACCCAAAACCAAAGUUGGUUUCAGUCCCUUAGCAUCUCUGGCGCGCAUGCACAAACACAUUUUAUG